UCGGAAAUGAGAGAGCGGCGUACGGGUGCGGAACACGUGUGCAACCUGCCUUUAUUGGGGGAUAGCCUUUCGAAAGGAAGAUUAAUACUCCAUAAUAUAUUGAACGGCAUCGUUUAAUAUUGAAAGCUCCGGCGGAUAGAGAUGGGCACGCGCAAGAUUAGCUAGUUGGUGAGGUCACGGCUCACCAAGGCGAUGAUCUUUAGGGGGCCUGAGAGGGUGAUCCCCCACACUGGUACUGAGACACGGACCAGACUCCUACGGGAGGCAGCAGUGAGGAAUAUUGGUCAAUGGGUGCAAGCCUGAACCAGCCAUCCCGCGUGAAGGA
This 325-nucleotide ribosomal RNA is filed under the name Cloacibacterium rupense. RNAcentral describes it as "bacterial SSU rRNA". It matches the Rfam family "Bacterial small subunit ribosomal RNA", at positions 81 to 408 of the family's 1533-position model. Lineage: Bacteria; Pseudomonadati; Bacteroidota; Flavobacteriia; Flavobacteriales; Weeksellaceae. The record is from RNAcentral.